AGCGCUCUGACAUUCUCUGCAGAAAGUUCCUAUCGCAGCAGCAGAAAUAGGAGCUCUCGGUGUAAUUAACACAGAUACGGUGCAAGCCCGCAAAGUUUUCCUUCCUUUAACCUACAGUCAUGGCAGGGGAAGGGGAAAAAGAGGUGAAUGAAUGCAUCCUGGCGCACACAGGAAGAGAAACAAUCGGAAUAGGUGAAAGGGCUUUGUGGUGGAAAAAAUAUCAUCGCCAGUAGCUUGUUAAGGGAACUGCAAUUAAGCUUCGUUUGCAUUCAGUGAAGGUCUUUAUCUGGGUAUCCAGAGUUUCAUUAAGCAUCUUUUUAGAGCAUAAGAGAAAUCAAUAGCGAGCGAGUUCCAUUUACGCUUUUAUGAUGAGCUCAUUCAUGCCAAGGCGGAAGUAAAAUCCCCAACUCGAGUUAAUAGUCAAAGAAACAAAGUUCCUGCUUUAAAGUAAUGACUCCUCAGAACCAUACUACAAAUAAAGGUCUCUGAUCCAAAUCCCAUCUGCCUUCAUGCUCGACAGUGUUAAUAUCUCUCGAUUUUCAGGGACUAAUUUAGCAGUAAUGCAUUUCCCAAAGCAGAGCUGUAAAAGUAUUAUCAAUACUAUGGUUUAAUAUCCCUCACUACAAUCACUGCCUGAAAUUAUGGAGAAUCACAUGGAAACACAUCAACAGAGACGCACCCACACAGUGUUAUGACAUUUCCAGGGUUGGAGCUGGCGCUCGUGUUUAUAAAGCAGGGGAAUUCCACGCAUGGCGCUAGAACAGAUAUUUUAACACUGUCUGUUGUACUUUCUCAAAUGGUGCCAGAUGCUGGGUUCAUCAACCAAACGCAUGAAAACAAUGGUUUGAAAGCAAUUAGAAGCACCGAGGCUGCACCGAGGCUCAUAUUAAAAUGUGAUAACACUGUUCUAGUGGGAAUUGCGCUGCUGCUGCAUUUCUGCCAUGUCUGUGCUGGAAGCGGGGCCUGAUCGAGGAGGAACAUACUGGAAUUUAUUCCUGGAGUAAAUGAAGGAUUAGUGGAGUUGGAACACUCACAAGGGUUUUUAUUACAGCCCCAGCUCCCGUCUUGUUUGAACACCCGCAGAUCCUUCAGCCUGUGCUCACGUAUCUCAACCAUUACUGAAGGAGAACGGCCAAAGCCACCAAAGGCCAGGCCUUGGCUGCAGUGAGGAACGGGAGCUGAGCUCCAGCAAUCCCACAGAGCCAAAGGAGCCCCGAGUCAGCUCUCAGCAAAUACUUAUCCAUCAAUUGCCCCAAAUAUGCAGAAGUACCCACUGACACGGCUUGUGACCCGCAGGCACCCUGGAAAGUUUAAAUCAUCACCCGUAUUAUUGCGGAAAUGAAGAUCAAAGUCACAAUCAGAAUCUCCCAGCUUGUUAACAGACACAAUGAGAGAUGGUCACGGUCCUGAGGAGUUUACAGCCUGGCCAUUUGUCUACACCUGGAGGUUGAUCCAGUUUCAAGUCCGGGUUAACGUGCAGCAAUGAGACUGGAGGAAACUUGCUGCAGGUUCCCCAGCAGUCUGCUCCUACCAACGGCCCAUGGGAACAUUCGGCCCUUUCUGGACUUUAAACCUUUUCUGCAGACAUAAGUUUUGCAGGAAAAUUUCCUGGGCUAAUCCAAGACAACACAUUUACAUCAGCACCAGACAGUUUUGUAUUAUUUGCUCUCCAGGGUAAGUAGAAAAGGGUUUCUGCUAUUCAGAACACUAACCCCAGCUCCUGCUAUGGCCCUCACCACAACUUCACCCUUUUCCACCCCUAAGAAGCUCCACUCACAGAUACAUAUUCAGUUUAAGUUCUUCUCCUUGUUGACUCAGCAUCAAAACCACCAGACACAUCCAGCCCUCCCGGCUCCCCGGGCUCAGCGCAGGGAGAACUCGCCCCGUCUUCCCCGGCUCGUACUCACCUCGGGACACACACUCCAAGCGGUACCUGAAAGAGCAAAACAAACAAAAAGACAGGCAUGAGCAUACAUUGUUUUCUUCAUGAUUUAUUCCACCCUGAUGAAUAAGUUACAGCUGGGAGAAUCACGUCAGAACUGCCGCCAGGAACCCGGCAAACGGUCACCACGCAUUUAGUGCGAGAAGCCCCAAGAAGAACGAGGAGUAUCGCAGCCGCCAGCCGGCCCCACUUUCACACUUUGAGCACAUCUUGGGUUGACAUGAGUCACUUUAAUAAGGGAACAGCACUGGUGAGAUUUGGAAGCAGAUCCAAGAUUGGAGAUAAGCCCCAAAGUGACCCGUUCACAGGCAAGACGUGCAGAGGGUUGGUCUAUAGGCAUUAGUGGCAAGAAUCCAGUACAUAAAAAUCCAAUCAAUUUGUUUCCUCAUUAAAAGCUUUCACAAAGAAAAUGAUUUAACACAAACAUUCAAGCUACUGACACAGAUUAAUUAGAAAACAACAACAGAAUUCCGAUUAAGGGUAUAAUAUUUAUUUGACUUGCUUGCUUUGGACAAAGAAAAUAGAAUGUGUGUGCAGAUAGAGGAAACUUUGCUGGGUGAAGGGGCUCGGUGACAGAUCCCAGCUGCGUGAAACGGGAGGAGCCGCGGGGCUGCUGGGGCAGCCGUCCCCGUUGUCACCACCAGCCCUUUCCCGUCCACGUCCACAUCUUAUCUCUGAAGCCCAGAGAAGCGACACCAGCAGCCCAAGGGCAGAGGGACCGGCAGAGCAGCUCCAUCCUUUUGUUUCCAAUCAGCAUUAACUAUUACUUAAUGCUUCCUUGGAGAAUUCAAACAUUAUUCAAGGCUUGAUUUGAGAAUCUCCCUCCCUGGGCUCUGCAGGACCCGAGUUCCCCUCACCCCAAAUCCAGCACCCCCAGAGCUGAAAUACUUUUGUCUCCUGAACAGAUUGCGAGACAAGGACAGAAAAAUCACUCCUUGUUUUGUGAACUUUUGUCUCUUGUGCUUGAGAGACCGUCCUAAUCUCCCCUGAACAUGUUUUAGUGAUAACAUUUACUGCACUAGGACCAAAAUGAUUUUCUGUCACUUCUCAUUCCAGUUCAAUAAAAGUAU
This is a long non-coding RNA of Columba livia (rock pigeon), 3012 nucleotides long. RefSeq lists it as uncharacterized. NCBI's taxonomy places the organism in Eukaryota, Metazoa, Chordata, Aves, Columbiformes, Columbidae. The record is from RefSeq and is a predicted model, not a curated record. The transcript is spliced from 3 exons.